UACAGUAAUUUCCCUGUCCAGGA
This 23-nucleotide non-coding RNA is filed under the name Cricetulus griseus (Chinese hamster). Lineage: Eukaryota; Metazoa; Chordata; Mammalia; Rodentia; Cricetidae. The record is from RNAcentral.